UUCCUUAGUUUUCAACACAGAGUGUUAGAAAUACAAACAGUGGUUUAUGAAUUCCAUAGGAUGAGUUCUUCCAGUAAUAGAUUUACCACCGUAAAGUUCUCUCAUUUCUUUUCUGCACAGGAACUCUGAGAGCAAGGAAAAUUGCUCCACUCUAACAGCGAUUCAUUUCAUUGUAUGCUUCUGCCAGCAUGACCCUAAUGAGAAGAAGUCCAGACUUCAGUUUUGGUUUAGAAUUCAGUGACAGUUUGAUUGUGGGCUCAACCUUUUCUACUGCUUUUGGAAGGAGAAUUGCAUGCUGAAUUAAUGAGCGAGAAGAACAGAGCCUUGAGCCUCUUCCAGUAGGAUCCUUUAAAGGAACAAUAGACAUGGAAAACACUGGGAAUCAGUGUCACCCAGGACUUCAUUGAUUUGUUCAGCUCUCUGCUAUGGCCUGGGAAAGCAAUAGAUGGCCCAAGUCCUUGAGCCCAUGCACCUAUGUGGAAGACCUAGAAGAAGCUCCUGGCUCCUGGCUUUGGAUCAACACAGCUCUGGCUGUUGCAGCCAUUUGGGAAAUGAACCAGUGGAUGGAAGACCUCUCUAUCUCUCUCAACUUUGGCUUUCAAAUAAAUAAAAAUAAAUCUUUAAAAAAUAAAUAAAAUAAAACAAUAUCAAUAAUAACUAGUA
Oryctolagus cuniculus (rabbit) is the source of this 663-nucleotide non-coding RNA. The record is from RefSeq and is a predicted model, not a curated record. Lineage: Eukaryota; Metazoa; Chordata; Mammalia; Lagomorpha; Leporidae.